CCAGUCUGUCCAAGUCCAAGCCUCACCGCAAAGGCAUCCUGGCUCGUGCACGUUCUCGUGUCAUGCGGCUGAUGCCAAGACCCACCAACGGGCACUGCCUGCCCAGGAUUCGCUGCGACUGCGACUCACAUGGUCUCCAAACAAGAACCUUUUUCUUGUUCUUCUGGUCGCCAUUAAAAUCGACCACUCUUUUGUUUGUUUCUUCAAGCCAAGCCCGUCCACCAACGGAGCAGCAGCAGUUGUAGGCUUGGAGCAGCCCACAUCACCGGUAGGGGGGAAGAGGAAAUGCUACAAGUAUACUGAUGGAAGAAAGAAGUGAUCCUAAACUAGUGGCACCAAUAACGAUAACAACCUUACUCUGGCAAUCCAUGUGUCGAUUUCUCUCUUAACUUCGUGCAAGGAUUCUCAAGUUCCAACGGGACCUUUUUUCCCCCAUGAAAACGUAAAGUUUCGGAUUCACGGUUCCCCAAAACAAAUAACUAAUGGGCCUUGGUUUGGUGGUGGCCCAGACGUACUGGGCUGGAUGUGGGCUAUACAAUCAUAGUGUGCCAUUAGCUCGCCCUGCAAGAACUCCGGCCAGGCCCCGCCGCCAGCGCGACUGGCAGGACGGCGGCGCCGGGGUCCCGGGGCCGCACCGCUCGAGCGCCGCGUGCGCUGGAG
This 660-nucleotide unclassified non-coding RNA is filed under the name Zea mays. Its description in RNAcentral is "misc RNA Zm00001eb179720". Lineage: Eukaryota; Viridiplantae; Streptophyta; Magnoliopsida; Poales; Poaceae. The record is from RNAcentral.